Molecule: long non-coding RNA, 3757 nt
Filed under: Homo sapiens (human)
Lineage: Eukaryota; Metazoa; Chordata; Mammalia; Primates; Hominidae
Description: HSALNT0180684
Source: RNAcentral
UGUCUUGGUACGAGAGUGCUGGGAAGGGAAGAACAUGGUCCCUUUAAAUGAUAUGGAAACGGGGAAGGGAAGUGCUGGGUAGAGAAAGGUGGGUUCCUGGCUCGGGCUCCACCCCGACGGACCUAGGUGAGGACAGGUAUUUCCUGCCCAAAUGUUGCAUUUCCCAAGACCACCCUGGCCUGCCACGCCCCCAUCUUGGGCCUAUAAAAACCCGAGGCGCCCUACCCCCAGCAGGUAGACACAAAAAGCGGCUGAGCAUUGUGAGGAACACGUCGGCAGAGGAAGAUACAAGCCACUGGUCAUCGAGGGCACACUGGCAGAAGAGCACGCCAACAGGCACUAGCAGGUCGACAAGCCGGGCCAUAGACUGGUGGAAUGACGCGAAGUUUUCCAGGGGAAAACCAUCUCCCUUCUGGCUCCCCCAUCUGCUAAGAGUUACUUCUACUCAAUAAGACCUUGUACUCAUUCUCUAAGCCCGUGUGUGCUCCAAUUCUCCUGGUACACCAAGAUGGUACCAGAAGUGGGAUCUGAAGUGGAGCUUCUAGCAACCCCCAGGAGCACUGAAUGAAUAUACAAGGUGCCCGCAGGACCCACUUGUGUCCAUUGAUUUCUCAGAGCGGCUGGGGAUCACGGGAAAAAAAAAAUCAUUGGCGACCAGGCGCGGUGGCUCAUGCCUGUAAUCCCAGCACUCUGGGAGGCCGAGGCGGGUGGAUCACGAGGUCAGGAGAUCAAGGCCAUCCUGGCUAACAUGGUGAAACCCCAACUCUACUAAAACAAAAACAAAAACAAACAAAAAACACAAAAUUAGCCGGACGUGGUGGUGGGCACCUGUAGUCCCAGCUACUCGGGAGGCUGAGGCAGCAGAAUGGCAUGAACCCUGGGAAGCGGAGCUUGCAGUGAGCCGAGAUUGCACCACUGCACUCUAGCUUGGGUGACAGAGCGAGACUCCGUCUCAAAAAAAAAAAAAAAAAAAAAAAUUGGCUACGUUAAUCAAGAGCACCUGAGCAUAAAGCCAAUAUUUUAGGUAAAAAUAGGAUUCUUAAUUUCUGGAAAACUGAGUUCCUUCUGGCUUAUACUUGAGGCCUGGGAGACAGCAAUGUCUUGACAGAAAUGGCAAAAUCUUACUAAAGAUAACUUACAGUGAAGUGCUUUGAAUGAACAACAAUGCAUUGAAGUACAUUUAAAAAUGAGGGCUCUUGGUAAGAUCCCUGUUGGCCAACAACAGGUUUGGCACUACAGGAUGUCAACUACUAUUCUCUUUGGAAUGAUGUGCCUUGUACUCUUUGCUGACAACUGUGGGUGACAGGAUUGGCAUAUACAGGAUCGUGGGACAUGGGGAAAUUUUUCUUCCUCCCAAAGGGAAAACUUGAGAGCUGAUGGGACUGUUGGAAAAAAAAAAAAAUCCCUUCACAACAACAGCAGCAGCAGCCACCUGAACUUUUCAGUGUUGCUGCAAUGGGUGGGUCUUUCACUGGCCUCCCUGAGCAUUUCACCUGAACAUGGUCUUAGGAUCCCCAUGAGGUUGCUGCUCAAGAGAGCCCAGCAGGCUGGCCAGUAACAAACUUUUCUGUAUGUCCCUGAAACAAACAAAACUUGAUGGGGUCUCCAUCUUGUCUUAUAUUCUUGGAGCUUAACCUUGUAACCACUUGACAGUACUUUCUCUUGGCCUCUGCCUCUCAGGGAACAGGAAUUUUAAGGUUUAUGUCACGGUUAGUUCUAAAAUUAUCUUGAGUAGUUAAAAGCCUCUGCAAGCUCAAAAUUAACUACUCUAGAGUCCUUCUAGGAAGGACAAUAGAGACUGCUCUGUGCAGUAGCUCAGUAGAUUAGAUCUUGGCUUUUCACACUGGCUGGCUGGGUUCAAUUCCCUGGUUAGGAAGUAAGCUCCUUCUGGUUUAAUAUCUGUAUAACGUUGUGUGGUCUCUUUUCCUCCAUGGACUAUCUUAAAUUUUUAUUUCUCUGAGCACCUGGGGUGUUACCUUUGGUAAAGUUCAAAAGCUAGAAAUAUCUGCCAUUUGGCCUGCUUAAAAUUGGGUAAUAAGAAAUUUUAAAAGGACUCUAUUAGAGUGCCAUGGUUAAAAUUCAGCUUAAUUAAAAGCAGAUAUUCAAGCUCUAACAGCACUCGUUGGAGAAAACCAGGCACCAGAAAUCCCUUUCCUGGCCCUAUUCUUCCAAGGGCUCCACCCUAAAGCCAAUAAGCAAUUUAAGAAAUUUAAAAACUGGCAAAUGAAAAAUCUUAACUACUGUAGUAAUCUGUCUGUGUAAUUAUAUAUGUGUUAUAUGUAAUGUUUAUCUAAAAGAGCUCUAAUUAAAGAUAAGCACUUAAAUAUUUGAAAGCAAAAUAAAAACUGUAAUGCCUUUCAGUUCAUGUAACUUUAGUAAUCUUUGGGAAAUAAAAACAGCUGUAAAGAUUAUUAAUAAAAUACAUUUUGUCUAAAUUAUGCAGGUCAGAUAUUAGGUUUGCUAAAUGCUUUAAGGUCAAACUGCUUUGCCUUUUGAAAAUUGUUGAAUUUAUUUUGAAAACAUUAAAUUCUAAAUAAGGCCUGGGGAUAUAUGGAAUUAGCCAUGCCCCCAGCUAUGCAAAGAAGUUUAUAAAGAGAAGAAAUUUUGGCCAGGCGUGGUGGCUCAUGCCUGUAAUGCCAGCACUUUGGGAGACCAAGGUUGGUGGAUCACUUGAGGUUGGGAGUUCGAGACCAGCCUGACUAACAAGGUGAAACCUCAUCUCUACUAAAAAUACAAAAAUUAGCCGGGUGUGGUGGCAGGCACCUGUAGUCCCAACUACUCGGGAGGCCGAGACAGGAGAAUUUCUUGAACCCAAGAGGUGGAGGUUGCAGUGAGCUGUGAUCACACCACUGCACUGCAGCUUGGGUAAUGGAGUGAGACUCCAUCUCAAAAAAAUAAAAAUAAAAAUAAAAAAGAUUUUAUAUAAGAACAUUGUAUGGAAAAUUUUUGUCUUGAAGUAAAGUGGCUUGUUUAAAAAGAGUGAUGUUUAGGGCAAGUCAGAAAGUCUAAACAUGUCAUACAUGGUCUGUGUAAGUUGUGAAAGAAUUUAUGAAAAGAAAUUUAUGCCAGAAAUUUUGUACAAUUUAAACGUGAUUGGGCCUCCUAAAUGCAUCAUAAAAUGCCAUAUGACUCUUAAUUGUAGAGCUUGCCUGAUUUAUAGCUAGAUAAGGCCUGGGACACAGGGAGUUAGACACUGGAAAGACUCAGACCUUAUCUGCAUUUCUGUCUGGGUCCUAGGCUCCAAACCUAGUACAUAAUUAAAAUUCCUUACUUACCAAGGUUUUCACCAAAAGUAAGUCUCUAAGAGUAACAUUGUAAUAUGUAAUUAAGACUACUGAAAAAGUUUUCAUGCAAGGUGUGUUAAGGAGAAUAAAAUGUAUUUUUGUAAGAUAUUAUAAGAAAGUACUAGAACAUAAAUUUUACCUAGGUUAGAGGGUUAAAGCGUUGUUUAAAAUUAAAUUUAAAGGUUUGAACAAGUUGUGAAAGGUUUAUAAAAAUUACAAGAAUCUAUGUGUGAACAUAUUGGCUAAAGUUAAAAUAGCAUUAUUCCGUUUUUUUUUUCCCAUAAAUUGGACAUUGGAAUAGAAGCACAACAGUUUUCUUAACUUUUUUCUACUCUGAGGAAAAAAAUGUAAAUUAUUAUAAAAGUUUUAUAAAAGUCUUAUGUUAUGGUCAAACUAAUUAAAAGUGAAUUGUUUUAUAAAAUGUUAUUAAAAACUAGCUUUAACAUUAAAAAUAGACUAAUGGAAACAUAAAA